Molecule: long non-coding RNA, 284 nt
Organism: Protopterus annectens (West African lungfish)
Lineage: Eukaryota; Metazoa; Chordata; Ceratodontiformes; Protopteridae
Exons: 3
Source: RefSeq, a predicted model, not a curated record
CAAGUGUAUGUGUACCUGAAAAACCUUAUACAGAAGUGCCUUGACACCUUCCUUUCUGUUUACUGAAGGAAGGUCUUGCUAAGUUUACAUUUGAUCAACUCUAGAUUGCAAAGUAGUCUUCUUAAAAACAGGACUAUAAAGAUGCAAAAGAUAAGAAAGAUGCGAAGGAUAAAAAAGGCAAAAUUUUUGACACAUUUUAGAAAAAAUCAUUUUAUACGAAAGACAUUCUUGAUUUGUGAAGCAAAAGCAGAAAAUGGAGAUGUUUAUGCUAAACAUUUUUUAAA